This 431-nucleotide ribosomal RNA is filed under the name uncultured bacterium. RNAcentral describes it as "bacterial SSU rRNA". It matches the Rfam family "Bacterial small subunit ribosomal RNA", at positions 29 to 506 of the family's 1533-position model. The record is from RNAcentral.
ACGAACGCUGGCGGCAUGCCUAACACAUGCAAGUCGAACGAGACCUUCGGGUCUAGUGGCGCACGGGUGCGUAACGCGUGGGAACCUGCCUUUAGGUUCGGAAUAACUCAGAGAAAUUUGAGCUAAUACCGGAUAAUGUCUUCGGACCAAAGAUUUAUCGCCUUUAGAUGGGCCCGCGUAGGAUUAGCUAGUUGGUGGGGUAAGGGCCUACCAAGGCGACGAUCCUUAGCUGGUCUGAGAGGAUGAUCAGCCACACUGGGACUGAGACACGGCCCAGACUCCUACGGGAGGCAGCAGUGGGGAAUAUUGGACAAUGGGCGAAAGCCUGAUCCAGCAAUGCCGCGUGAGUGAUGAAGGCCUUAGGGUUGUAAAGCUCUUUUACCAGGGAUGAUAAUGACAGUACCUGGAGAAUAAGCUCCGGCUAACUCCGU